CGGAGGAUCCGAGCGUUAUCCGGAUUUAUUGGGUUUAAAGGGUGCGCAGGCGGGAGAUUAAGUCGGCGGUGAAAUUUUGCAGCUCAACUGUAAAAGUGCCUUCGAAACUGGUUUCCUUGAGUGUAGAUGAAGUAGGCGGAAUUUGUGGUGUAGCGGUGAAAUGCAUAGAUAUCACGAGGAACUCCGAUUGCGAAGGCAGCUUACUAAGCUACUACUGACGCUCAGGCACGAAGGCGUGGGGAUCAAACAGGAUUAGAUACCCCCGUAGU
This 269-nucleotide ribosomal RNA is filed under the name uncultured prokaryote. RNAcentral's name for it is "partial 16S ribosomal RNA". It matches the Rfam family "Bacterial small subunit ribosomal RNA", at positions 526 to 794 of the family's 1533-position model. The record is from RNAcentral.